UUCGUAAUCUCCAACAUCACUAAUACAGAUCGCAUACCACUAAAAAUAAAAGAAAAAAGGUGUAAGAAGAACAAUACUUAAUAGUCCAUUCAAUACAAGGUAAAAGUGAAUAAUUAUUCCUCAGUAGUCAUUCUCAUUCAACAAAAAACUUA
Phyllostomus discolor (pale spear-nosed bat) is the source of this 152-nucleotide long non-coding RNA. RefSeq lists it as uncharacterized. NCBI's taxonomy places the organism in Eukaryota, Metazoa, Chordata, Mammalia, Chiroptera, Phyllostomidae. The transcript has 3 exons. The record is from RefSeq and is a predicted model, not a curated record.